CACCUAGGCUUUCUCCGGACCUGAAGAGCAAUGGUGCUGAGGAGGGCAGAGGAGCGUAGGCCUGGCUGCGGCCGGAGUGUCAGUUCUCUAAGUCCUUUAAGCACGCAUUGGAUGAAGAGACCAACUGCCAGAGGAAGUGCAGCAAGGAAAUUUUGUGGCUGGAGUCGUGUUAUGAAUUCCUGGGGUUUGAAGAGGACAAACACUGAUGAUUAAAUGCAGUUAUAAGGUGGGAAUGGAUCUCCAUCAGGACCAUGCUAUAGUGACCUCUUUAUGGUAUGGAUUCAGUUUGUGCUUCCAUCUUCAGAAAGCAGUCUCACACCAAACAAGAAGUGCUUAUUGCUAGGAGUGUCAGCUGGAAGCCAGAAAGGCUGUUGUUGGGAAAGCUCUGCGUUUGGUGGUUUUGGACUAGAUCUAUUUAAGCUUGGAUUCUGUCAUUUUUUAUGAUACUAAUUUAGAUACAGGAGCACUCUGAGAAGCUCUAGUUCUGUUUCAGUUUUUGCUGAGGGUGAAGAGGAGACUUACUAUUACUGGCCACUAUUACUGUAAAGACCUAUAUUUUUAUUAUUGCAAAAUGAUAGUGGCCUAAUUGUCUGAAAGUCUGAUUCUUGGGCUUUGAGUGUUUCUGAUCAAGGAGAUUCCCACUUUAAUGUACACAUAGCCAUUUGUUUUUCUCAUAAAAAUCAGUGGCAGUGCACCAUGUCUGUUAUGUCAAUCAGCCUUAAUGAAGGCGCUGACUGCAUAUGCAUGGGGUGUGAAUUCCCUCGUUUCUGGAGUCAGGAUGUCAAACUCAUUCGAUAGCUGACAGCUGUGAUUAGAGCAAAGAAAGACUCCAGCAUGAAAGGCACUGACAGGAGAACCCAACUGCUGAAAAAGAAAUAAGAAGUAGCCAAACUGAUUUCCAACCCACAGUCAAGUUUGACUCACUGUGCACAGGAAAUCAAUGAGGAGAAUAUGAGCUAUUUUCCCCUCAUCGAUUUUCACUUCUAAUUAUUCCUUGGAGACAGCUUGGUUUAAUUUUUAUGCCUUUUUUGGGGGAAGCUUGGUUUAAUUUUUAUGCCUUUUUGGGGGACUAUAAAGAAUAUCCCAAAAUGUGCUGUAUGAAGUGCCCUAGCAAUAUCUGGCAUGUCUCCACCUUGUCAUCAGUACACGUGAAUUCUUCCUUUAACCUCUCUUCUUCCAUACCUUCACUUUCUUUUGACUCAGAAGUGCUAAGUAACUUCCAACUUAAGUGAAAGUAUUGAUGAAUAAUACAUUUUUGCAAUUACUCUGAAGUAACCCCCAAAUUGGGCUAUAUGCGGAGACAAAUUCCAUUAUUUUUUCACAUAAUUUGUUCAAAAUGAGAUGAUUUUCUUUGAGAGAAGAGUCUUUCUUCCUUUUUAGUCAUUCAUUGUUCUCCUCUGGUUGGCCUGAAGAAAUCCAGGUAACCUCAUGACUUUAAGUUUUCCCUUGGAAUUUCCUGUACCACCCCAUAUCUUUGGUAUUCCUGCCAGUUGGCAAAUACUAUAAACUACACCAUAUAGUAUCUUAUGCCCAUUUUUCUGAUAAAGCAUUGUCAACCUAAACAGAACUCCUAGUAUUCUACUAGUUUCCCUCCAGAAAAUAGACACUAGUUUCUUCUAAAAUGCCCUUUAAUACCAAGGCAGAAUUAGAGGAUGACAGUGGUAUCCAUAAAUUUUCCCUAUAACAGACCUUAUAUCAUGCAAUAGAUGUAUAGAGUUAGUGUUUCAGAAGAUUUUCAAAACCAUUGUCUGCUUGUUAGGACAAAGGGCGCCUCUGGGGUAUUCCUUUUCAGGACCCAUGGUAACACAGGUAAUUACUUCCUACAAGGAAAUGCUCCCUGUUGGAAUUGAGCAAUUUCCUAGAGCACAGGCUUUAGAGUUACAUGCAGCUAGAGGUGAUGUUUAAAAGUGUAUUCCCUUGAAUAAAACAAACUCUCAGCUGCAGUUUCCUCACGUUAAGAGGGUUGAUGUGAAGUUUAAAUGAUAUUAAUAUGGAUGAAAUGCCUAAAUCAUCCCAGGUCCCCAAUAUGGAUCAUUUAACUGUUUCUUUCUUCCAUUUUUUCCCUUCCUCUAGUUUUUUCUUCUUCUCUCCAUUCUUUUCUCUCCUUUCUUGCUCCUUCUGAUCAUUCCAUUUCACUUCUCCACCUCCCUGCUGUGUCUUUCCGCUCUUCUUAACACCCUUUUGUUCAAUCUUUUCUUUCUUCAAGUUCUCCCUGAGAACAAUCUCCAGCAUUCAUAUAGUGGACUUAGUAAAGAAUAUUUUUUUCUCCCCGCAGACAGCCCAUUAUUUACUUUGAACCUUCUACUUCUGCUUUUUCACAAUUCCCAUUUUUAAAUUUCUGGCUCCAGUUCUUAUCUCAGUGCGUUGCCUUUAGCAAAUAGUCUGUUUCUCAGGGUUGGGGCCGAAUUGUAACUAUUUCCUCAUCUAUUAAUUUUGCUCCAAGAAGGAAAAGGAAGGUCUGAAGGUUGCACUAAAUCUCAUGCACUUUAUGUACCUCUUCUUUUCUCUGGCAACCCAUCAACAAAAUCUGUAAGCUAUUUUCAAGUUCUCUGAUCUAUUUAGUUUCAGAAUUACUUUGGUAAGUAUAACACCAAACAGUGAAGUGAGGAAAACAAACAGGCGAGUGGGUGAGUGUCCACAAAAUGAACUCCUGUGUCACCCCAACCGGUCAAAAGAAGUAAAACACUGUCCACAUCCCAGGAGCCACUCCCAGGAGAGUGAUGUGCACUCUGAGUCAUUUCUCCUGCUCUCCUUCCCAAAUUAGUUAUCUGAUUUCUAGCACUUAGUUCUGUUUGCUUCAUUUAACAUUAUGUCCAUGGAAUUAUCCAGUGGACAGUCUUUUGUUUUGAGUGUCUUAUGCCCAACAUGAUAUGUAUGAUAGUCAUCUGUGUUGUAUGCAGUAGUAGUUUCUUUAUUUUUAUUGCUGUGUAGUAGUCAAUUGUAAGUAAGCACCAACGUUUAUUUAUACUUUUACCAUUGAUAGAUAUUUUGUUUCCAGGCUUUGAAUAAUAUGAAUUGUAGUGCCACAAGCAUUAUUUCACUUGUCAUUUGGUGCAGGUGGGUUUGAGUUUAUUU
Molecule: long non-coding RNA, 3075 nt
Organism: Heterocephalus glaber (naked mole-rat)
Lineage: Eukaryota; Metazoa; Chordata; Mammalia; Rodentia; Bathyergidae
Source: Ensembl